Molecule: long non-coding RNA, 351 nt
Organism: Peromyscus eremicus (cactus mouse)
Lineage: Eukaryota; Metazoa; Chordata; Mammalia; Rodentia; Cricetidae
Exons: 3
Source: RefSeq, a predicted model, not a curated record
UGUAUGGAGGGUUUGCAAGUGGCAAGCACUGUUUUACUUCCUGGAGUUAGUGAGCAAAGCCCUGGCUCUCCUGAGAUUUACUUAAUAAAUAGUACAGAGAUUAAAAACAAACUUUAUAAGAUGGAUGCUCAGGACACACAUCCUUCCCUUAAAAGAUGAUGUUGUUUGCUCUUGGAACAGAAACACUACUGUGAAAUAAUUCACCUUUCUGAAAGGCUGGAAGGUGAAGGCUCAGAACAUACUGCACCAGAAUCCAGAGUAAAAAGUAAAAUACCAGAGAUCAGUGUAUGCAGGUGUCUAACCACUGGACACACCCAAAUAACAUUAAAUGUAUCCCUUUCUACUUUUUAA